UGGCUUGUCAAUUGUAAUUUAUAUAACAUAUCAGAAUAACUGUCAUCUUUACAAUAAUAAGCAUGCUCACUGCCUUGGACAUGCACUGAGCAUCUGAAUACAGAAGUUGCCAGCUUGUUCAAUUACCAUCAAUGGACGUUAAAAGCAGAACACCAGGUUGUAAUUCAAAAUUUUAUGUGGAGAAUUUCGUUACUUGUUCAUGGUGCCACCACAAUUAAUAUUGUGGUAGAUCAGUUGAGAUAAUGGUAAUCCAAUCAUAUUGGUGCUUGAUUGUUUCGGUAUAAACUAUUAAAAAUUUUUCCUUCCUUUUGCUUGGAUAAGUAUUUUGUCAUUUUGUCUUUUCUCACUACUUUUUUGCAUUAAGCAUUGAAAUUUUGCCUCUCGCUUUAUGGGCCAAUUCAAACUCUUCUUCUAUCUCUUUAUUAACAUGUGCAGAACAUGGUAAUGUAACAAAUAAAGGAGCUAGGGGUACAGCAAGGGGGUCAUUGCCCCCUUAACUCAUGAAGUUCUUAAUAUAGGCAAAUUUGCAUGACCCUUUCAAAUUUAGUGCAUGCCCCCCACCAUCUCUUUCCAAGUAUUUAGCUAUCUUUUUGAUCCUAGCUCAUAGCUAGAGAAGUUCAUUUUCAUUUUUUUUUUCUAUUUUGAAAUUGGAAUCUGAUACAAUGUGGAGGG
RNAcentral lists this unclassified non-coding RNA (672 nucleotides) under Hevea brasiliensis (rubber tree). The record is from RNAcentral. Lineage: Eukaryota; Viridiplantae; Streptophyta; Magnoliopsida; Malpighiales; Euphorbiaceae.